GACGAACGCUGGCGGCGUGCUUAACACAUGCAAGUCGAGCGGUAAGGCCUCUUCGGGGGUACACGAGCGGCGAACGGGUGAGUAACACGUGGGUGACCUGCCCUCAGCUCUGGGAUAAGCCUGGGAAACUGGGUCUAAUACCGGAUAUGACUGCGCAUCGCAUGGUGUGUGGUGGAAAGUUCCUGGCCUUUGGGUUGGGUUCGGUUGGGGAUGGGCCCGCGGCCUAUCAGCUUGUUGGGGGGUGAUGGCCUACCAAGGCGACGACGGGUAGCCGGCCUGAGAGGGCGUCCGGCCACACUGGGACUGAGACACGGCCCAGACUCCUACGGGAGGCAGCAGUGGGGAAUAUUGCGCAAUGGGCGGAAGCCUGACGCAGCGACGCCGCGU
RNAcentral lists this ribosomal RNA (387 nucleotides) under uncultured bacterium. RNAcentral's name for it is "bacterial SSU rRNA". It matches the Rfam family "Bacterial small subunit ribosomal RNA", at positions 28 to 402 of the family's 1533-position model. The record is from RNAcentral.